AAGCUGCAGUUCGCACAUUUCCAUAGGACCUCUAAGUGUUAAGAUUUAUAUCUGUCAAAAGGACAUACAAGUGCGACUUGUGUGUUCUUCCUUGUUUUUGAAGUUGCAGUUCUGGCUCUUUAAGGAGCAAUUGUUGCAAUAUUUCGGGAGUUUUCUCUCCCUAGUGUGAUAGUGAAAAUGUUGAUAAUGGCUGAAUGGGAAGGUAGAAUCGUACAUGUUUUUGUCAUAUUGAAAUUUAUAAAGUAUCCGAGUUAUAAGGAUAAUUAUGUGUAUUGUGAACAUUUUCGCUUGUUUUGAUACAUUCAAAUAUUUGGCCUUAGACAUUGUGCACUCCUAUUUUAGAGGAGAAAGAAGAGUUUCUACCUUCCUUGUUGCUACAAAGUUAGGAUGUUAUAUUGAAGAGUUACCCCCUCAUCCCUAAUCUUCCCCAAACCCCCCCCAACAUCUAUUAAGUUUCAAGAUUACAUGAUGAUAUGACUUCCCUUGGCAACAGAGAGUUCAAACAUAGAAAGGAGUUGAUCUCCUUCUCUUGGUCACCAUAUUUUUAUAUGCCUUGUACAUAUGCUGUGGUACGAAGUGCCAAGAAAUCACCAAAUUUCUCAAGUGCUUUUGAUAUGAAGUGGUGCUACUUUUGGCCCUUCCUAGAGAAAAGUUGAAUUGGCAGCUCAGCUGAAGGAUUUAAGCGAGCACAGAUGGUUUCUUGGUACGACAGAACUUCAUCUUAGAGUGUCAUUGGAUUUAUGGAUGUAAUUCCACAUUAUUUUUGUGAUGAUAGAGAUGAAUACAUUUUGGAUAAUGUUGCAAUGAAUUUUGGACCAAUCAAAUUUUUGUAUUUUCUCUAAGAUGAAGUUUGACUUUUAUCCAGUACAAUGUAAAUAAUUGUAUAUAAUUGAUAGGAGAUUUCAUUGUUAUCACUUGUAGGGACAGGCCCCAUUUAAGUAAUCUAACCUUGAUCAUCACAUUUGUACAGCAUAAGGAAACUGUUCCUACUGUUGUCUUAUGGUACAAACGGUGUCUUAAAUUCUAAUGAUAACUACCCGAAGUGCGGUCUCAUUACCCACACAGGGUACCUAUUGACCGGCUACAGGUGAGAAAUACAGGUGAGAAAUAAUUACAUGACAACAAUCAGUUAGUAUAGCUAUUGGUUAAAAUUCUAGGUCUUAUGCCCCUGUAGAAUACGCUUUUAGUAGUAUUUUAGAAUGCCUUUGAAUUGAUCAUAGAUUUUAUAGAAAGCUCUAUAGUGUAGAGGCAGUGACUAAAUGUUUGUGGAGCAUCAAGAUGAGGUGCAGAACAUAUCCUUCUAUCUGAACUGACAUUCGUGUCUGCUGCAAGCGGAGUUUGGAGACUCAAAGACAUCGGUAGACAUGUUGCCAAGGAAAGCCAACACAGCUGAACUUUUGGACCCUGACUACUGCCAAGGCUAUGUGAAUACUCUAGGAAUCCUGGUGAUAUCUUGGACUAUCCCCAAAGACUUGGAGCUACAGAAGUGAUCCCUACCCCUACCUUCCCCUACCCUACCCCCGGCCCUUUUUAGGGCCACCCCACAUGUUCCAGAAAGAACAUGUCGUAUCACAGCCCUGUCUGGGGGUUACAACCAGACAAGUGUGUAUGAAGUGUGUGUGAGAUAGAAUGUUGGUGUGUAUUAAGUGUGGUGUAUAUCACAGUAUAUGGUAGAAUGAAGUGUGGUGUGCAAGAUAGAAUGUUGGUAUGUUUGAAGUAUAGUGUGCAAAGUAGGAGUGUGUGAAGUGUGCUGUGUAAGGUAGAAUAUUGGUGUGUAUGAAGUGUAAUGUGUAAAAGGAUGUUGGUAUGUACAAAGUGUGAUGUGUAAGGUAGAAGGAGUGUAUGAAAUGUGGUGUGAAAGAUGGAAUGUUGGUAUGUUUGAAGUGUGGUGUGUAAGGUAGGAGUGUAUGAAGUGUGGUGUGUAAGGUAGAAUGUUGAUGUGCAUGAAGUGAAAUGUGUAAAAGGAUUGUUGGUAUGUACAAAGUGUGAUGUGUUAAAGGUAGAAAGAGUGUAUGAAGUGUGGUGUAUAAGAUGGAAUGUUGGUGUAUAUGAAGUAUGUAUAAGAUGGAAUGUUACAAUGUAUGUAUGAAGUGUAUGUAAGGUAAAAUGUUGGUGUGUAUGAAGUGAUUUAGUGUGGUGUAAGAUAUGUAUAAAACAAUGUAAUAUGUUGGUGUGAAUGAAAUGUGUGUAAAAUAGAUUGUAUACAGAGUGUGGUGUAUAAGAUAGAAUGCUGGUUUGUAUGAAGUGGCGUGUGCUGGUGUAUGUAUGAAUUCUAGCACAAGCACUCACGCCCAGUCACACAUACCUUCAACACACAUUGAAGAAUAACAACAAUAAUAAUAAUAAGUAACUAAGAUUUAAUCAAAAGAUCAUGAACAAAACAUAAAAUAACUUGCAUAUCUACUACACCAUAGCGCUUUCCAGCAGUAGCAAGUAUUUUGAGAAAAAGCAAUUGGGUCACCUGCUAGAACAUGCCUAGCUAAAUUUCAUUCCAAAUGAAAUGGGAUAUGCAAUACGUUUUUCGAUACCUUUGUCUUGAAAUCAUCAUCUUCACACAUAAGGUCCUCUAUGGAAACAAGUGAUUGCUGAAAAAUCUAUAGGAUGGGGAAUUGCAGCUA
Branchiostoma belcheri (Belcher's lancelet) is the source of this 2618-nucleotide long non-coding RNA. RefSeq lists it as uncharacterized. NCBI's taxonomy places the organism in Eukaryota, Metazoa, Chordata, Leptocardii, Amphioxiformes, Branchiostomatidae. The transcript has 2 exons. The record is from RefSeq and is a predicted model, not a curated record.